Cyanistes caeruleus (blue tit) is the source of this 4492-nucleotide non-coding RNA. Lineage: Eukaryota; Metazoa; Chordata; Aves; Passeriformes; Paridae. The record is from RefSeq and is a predicted model, not a curated record.
UCCUCGGGGACGCGGGGCCGGCCGCAGAGCUCUUCGGGGAUGCGGGGCCGCGCUGCUCUCAGGGUGGUCCCGUCCCGUGGCGGGGAAGGCGCCGCAGGUGCGCGAACCUGAGGAAGCCCGAGGGGCCAGAAGCCCGUCGGACUUGCCUCGGCUUUAAUUCUGCCCGCGCCGUGGAGGGAACUGCGCCCCGUUUUAAAAGCUCUCUGUCCAUCUGGCACUGAGCAAAGUGAAGCAUCAUCAGGUGCAAACACCCUGACUGCAGAUGACCAUGAAACUGAGAAAACACAGCUGGACCCAGCAGAGCAUGUGAGCCUUGCCUCUGAGGACACCAACCUUGGCCAGCAGCUGCCGGGAGAGGAGGGCUCAGCCACCAUCCUGGACGUGAUGGGGAAGACAGAGUCAGUCAGCAAAAGGGAGGAGCCAGAGGGCACGGAGCCCCUGCCUGCAGGAGAGGAGGAAAGCUCUGAGCUGCCCUCUGUGUGGCGAGAGGAGAGCAAGGGGCCUUUGCUGCCAGCACCAGGAGAAGAUGCUGGGGCACCAUCACCAGGACCAGCAGAGGACAGUGGGCUGGUAGAGGGCAGUGACAGCUCUGUAGUGGAAAUUGUCGAGAAAGUACAUACUACUGAAGAGGACCACCUCAUUGAGGGUAAUAUUUGUGCUUUCAUAAAUUCAGGAGACCAAAAUUUGCCUCCAGGGACUUCUGCGUGGGUCCUUUUGGCCUCAAAUGAGCCUCUGGAGUCAGAAUUUGGUCCAACAAGUCUGUACCAUGUGAGGCAUAGAAGAAUGUGGCUGCGGAAGCCUUGGAUAUACAAGUCCAAGCUAUAAUAAAUUUAAUCAGCAUUUCCACCUCUGCUAUUUCAUUUCAUAUGCUUUUUGUUCUUAGCAGGUAAAAUGUCCCACCAUACCCCUCAUUUAAAACAUUGUGUCCCUGGGUAGCUCAGACACAUUCCUUGAUAUUUGCCCAGCCCAAAGGCUCGAUUGCUUAGUCACAUGUAUUAAUUAUAAAGCAACUGUCCUUGCACACAUAAAGCUGGAGGGUGCAUGCUUGGAUAUAGAAGUAAAAGCAUCUCUUUGAUGCACACUUGGCAUGUCCAAGAAGCUUGGCUUCUUGGCAAGAAGACAGGCAGAAUAGAAGUAGUAGUGGAGAGACACAGGGCUGUCUUUGCACCAAUGCUUGGAGAUGACUGGGUGGGGAGAGAGGCUGUUUGAGGAAGCGGUGGUGUCUGAGAUGAUGGGUAUUUCCAUGUGCUGUGGAGGGACCUUCAGCAGGAGGUGUGCUCCUUCCUGGAAAUUGCAGGCUAUAUUCAUCUUUGGGUUAGUGCCCAGAGGACAUGGACUGCUCAUACAGAAGAAGAACACUCUGCAGGAGGAAUCAAAUUUCUCCUAAAUGGUACAAAGUAGCUCAGUAAGGAAUCAGAUACAUCCUGGAGUAGCUCUUCUUCAGGGGAUAAGCAGGUAAAGCACAUGAAAAGUAUUUCUCUGCAGGGAGACAUCUUCACUCCAGUUUUGCCUUGAAGAAGUGCAAGGGGUGGAAGGACUGAUCUGUAUGAAGUCCAGAGUCAGUUACACACACUCCCACUAAUCCUGUGGCUUUGUGCUGCAUGUCUCUGAACUGGCCAUAUGAAUCUCAUUUCUGUGCAUCCCAGUAGCUGAGCAUGGUUGUAGGAUUGCUUUGUCCUCUCCUGUGUCUCUCCACGAGAGAAUUUUGUCCUCUACAUAAAAUGGGCAUCUACCCUUUGGAAUAAAGCUUUGUUUUAUGUAAGCAGUGAAUGACAGGUUGCUCACCUGUUAAACACACAUCCUGCCCAGCUGCAAACUCCAAUUUCAUUAUUCACCAUUUCUAAGCCUCAGGGCAAUGCCAGAGGCAGAGCAGCACGCCCUGGACCUUGCACUGUCAUCUCUUGUUAGUGGAAACAUGUUUACAGUUGGCUGGCUGGCUGAAGAUGAGUUGUGGGGCUUUUAGCACCAAGUGAUGCAUGCAGGGCAAGUGAAUGAAGCUUUUGGGGAAAAGAGUUUUGCUCCUAUUACUUCCAAGGUAGAAGUAAUACCUUAAUUUGUAUGCAUUCUCUUUCCAGAGGCAUCUGAUGAAGAAGGGAUUUUCUAUUUUUAUGCUAUGGUGAGACGGGAGAACAGGUGGAAACUGAGCUGCUCAGUGAGACAGUAAGUGAAGGGCCUGAAACAAAAGAAGAAGAAACAGGAGAAGCUGUGGAUAGUGCAGCAGCGUCAGAGAUAGAGGCAGCUAAUAACAAGGAAUAGAAGUUAUGUCUCAAUGAACAUCCUCUUCUUGGGCCUGCUCUUCUGUUCACAUGAAUAUUUUUAAAUUUUAUUGGGUUGGGAAAAUAGAAGGGCUUUUAUGGAUUGAACCACAAGCUACAGACACAUGAAUAGGAGGCACCAGAAGAAGUUUUAUGUAAUACAGAUUUUUUGAAGUCAAGCUGCCAAGACUUCAAGUAUUUGAAACACCCAAACUUUCAUCUCCCUGCCACGAAGUGCCUUCUACACACCAGGAUAAUUUUUCAACAGCAGUAUGAUCAUUCCUUUUUCAAUUACAAGUUUUUCCCAGGCUCAGAUAACUGCCUUCAACCAUUGAAACCUUCAACCAACAUUAUAUAGGAUAAAGAAUAGAGUGUAGCUUUUUUCUCUUUAAAUGAUUGUAUGUAGGCAGUUCCUCUGUGUGCCAGGACUACCAACGUAGGCAGCUGCUGAACUGCACAGCACCUAGAGAACUGGGAAAGUGCUCUUUUACCAAGCUCUAACUAAAUGCAGAGGUGAGUUUUCCAGAAAAUAGAAGACAACAGAGUGCAGUGUCCAGGACCAAGCUGUGUGCUGAUCACUCCCCAUUUCUAAACUCAAAUAUACUGAAGGGAUUGUAUUACAAUAUAUGUGAUGACUUCUGCAGAAGCAGUGAGAAGAGGGCAUUUUUAACUGAGUGGGAUGUUUUAGUUGUAUAAAUCCUAAAACUUCACAGCUGUUAACAUUCAUGGUCAAUAAUAACCUGUCUUUAGCUGUUCCUCAUAUGCCUUUGUGGCUUCUAAAAUGGACUUCUAAGAGAGAAAAUACAAACCUGUCUAAGAGACAAAUAUAAGCCUGUUCCCAAAGGAAAGGUUAUCUAUUAUAUUCCCCUGGAAUGCUGUCCUCCUGGAGAAAUAUGCUAUCAGGGACUGCCUGGGUUAUUUUCCAAAAUGCUAAAUAUUCAUUUUGGAGAUGAAGCUGAAUGGAAAUACUUUCAAACAAAUUUCCUGUGAAAACAGGCCCUGGAUAUGAUUUGUGGUUUGGGUAGAGUAGAUUUUUUUUCUGUUGGUGAAUAUUGCAGGAUCACAGAAUCAAUUAGGUUGGAAAACACCUCGAAGUUACUGGAGUCCAAAUGUUGACUGAAGACCACCUUGUCAACUAGACCAUGGCAGUAAGUGCCACAUGCAGUUAUUUCCCAUCCAGGGAUGGUGGCUCCACCACCUCCCUGUGCGUUCCAAUGUUUAACAACCUUUCCAGUGAAGAAUUUCCUCCUGAACCUCCCCUUUGAGGAGCUUUGAGGCUAUGUCCUGUGCAAAGGGACUCAGUAUAAUACAUUGCUGGGGACUGUGUUUAAAAAGCUUCUCUGGCAUAAGGAUGUAGGACAUGGAGAAAAAGUCAGUUACCUAAAAAUGGCAAGCACAAUAUUGCUCUUUUAUUAGCUUUAUUGUACAAAAAGACUUAACAAAAAUCCUGUCGCCAGUAAAUUAUACAAAUCCCCUCAAAGAGAUGAUUUCAUACUGCAUGUACAUGCCUGACUCCAGCUGACUCUUGUUUGUAUUAAAUAAUCUAAUUGUAUUUAAUAAUCUAAUUAAAUAAUCUAAUCUUGUUAACCUUUUAUAUAAGCAGAUAGUUCUUGGCUGUAUCACUAAAUUUAAAGUUUUCUGCUUCGCAGCAUUCUUAUGAACUUGUCAGCUUCAUUUAAUGUCAACUUCCUGUAGGCAAUACCAUAAACUUUUAGAACCCAAACACAUACUUUUUUUUUAGGGAUUUUUUUCUAGGUGGGUGCCAUUUUUAAUUUAUUUUUUUUUAGUUUUUCUAGCCUUCUGUAAUGGAGAAGCUAAAACAAGCUCCUAGCUCUAUUAAAAAAAUCUAUUGACAUUAAAGUGAGCAUCAAAAAUUCAGACAGAAGUAGUCAAAGUUUUUAUCCACAUACUGAAACCAUUCCAUGAAAAGAAGCCAUGAAAAACAGCACCGUGUACUUUCAAGAGCUGAGGAGUGGGGGAACAGGUACUGAGCAGAAUGAGAGCACCCCAAAGUGACAUAGGACCGGGCUGAGUGUACAGCCAUGUUCCAGGAUGCCCCAAGCACUUCCAUCUUCAGCUGCAUCUCAUGGCUGAUUUCCUCCUGUGAGCUGGGAAUUCAGUUCAGCCACCAGCACAUGUGCCAGCACAGCCCACUCCAAAACACAGGAGAUUAAAUUGGCAGAGACAAGCUGACUACUGGCAAGAUCAUGAAUUGCAGUCUGGCAAGCAUUGAACUA